UUCGGGCGCCGGCGAGUGGCGAACGGGUGAGUAACACGUGGAGACCUAUCCUUUGGUGGGGGACAACAGCUGGAAACGGCUGCUAAUACCGCAUACGCCCUACGAGGGAAAGAUUUAUUGCCGAAGGAGGGUUCCGCGUCGGAUUAGCUAGUUGGUGGGGUAACGGCCUACCAAGGCGACGAUCCGUAGCUGGUCUUAGAGGAUGAUCAGCCACACUGGGACUGAGACACGGCCCAGACUCCUACGGGAGGCAGCAGUGGGGAAUAUUGCGCAAUGGGGGAAACCCUGACGCAGCGAUGCCGCGUGGGUGAAGAAGGCCUUAGGGUUGUAAAGCCCUUUCAGUGGGAACGAUAGUGACGGUACCCACAGAAGAAGCCCCGGCUAACUCCGUGCCAGCAGCCGCGGUAAUACGGAGGGGGCGAGCGUUGUUCGGAAUUAUUGGGCGUAAAGCGCGCGUAGGCGGUUUAUCAAG
RNAcentral lists this ribosomal RNA (472 nucleotides) under uncultured Magnetococcus sp. Its description in RNAcentral is "bacterial SSU rRNA". It matches the Rfam family "Bacterial small subunit ribosomal RNA", at positions 79 to 587 of the family's 1533-position model. The record is from RNAcentral. Lineage: Bacteria; Pseudomonadati; Pseudomonadota; Magnetococcia; Magnetococcales; Magnetococcaceae.